Molecule: unclassified non-coding RNA, 884 nt
Filed under: Daphnia magna
Lineage: Eukaryota; Metazoa; Arthropoda; Branchiopoda; Diplostraca; Daphniidae
Description: speckle-type POZ protein-like, transcript variant X2
Source: RNAcentral
UAGCCCCUCCCCUUCAAUCGUCAGCAGUUUCAACGGAGGUUAGGGUUGAUAAGUUCAUUUAGCUAUGGUGCUUCCCUUCGAUUGUUUGUUCACGUUCUGAGUUAAAUUCACAUUCCAUGUGAUGCAGUUUCAUUAGUUCUACGCCGUUGAAAGUGAUCAUCAUUCAAGCAAAGAGUCAGAAUUCCAAGGCAGUUCCGGUGGCUUAAAAUGUUCAACUGGAAGCGAACGUGUCUCGCCCAAAGUCAUUGGAACUCAAAAAUAUAAUAAUCCAGGAAGAGACUGCUAAUGCGAUUCGACUGCAUGAUGAAUCACAGCAGCAAGAUGUGCGUCUAAAUUCCCCUGAAAAACGUGCGACUAGCCAUAUCCUUUUUGGAACAAGUUCGAUCCUGAACUUGUUCUGUGUCUUUCUCGACGAACUGAAUAGAACUCUGUUUUUCUACUUCAACACCUUUUGGAAGUUUCGUGGUCAGUACGUUGAACGGGCAGAUGAACAGCCUUCACCAAAGUCUGGUGCUCGUUGAAAGACUGGCAGACACGCUUGGGACGACGACUUUAGCGAUAAUCAUCGAAGAUGUUCUGGAAAGAGACUCCUGAAAGACUUUCGGAGCUGUGGAAAGAUUAAGCUGAAGAAAAACUGGCGACAAGUUUGGUGGAGCUUUAACGAGAUUUGCUCAAUCCAAAGAAAUAUUCGUGAAUAUUUUGACCAACCAACUUCGCAAGAUAAAUAGCUUUAGACCGGGAUUGCACAACCAACGUUCAUCGAUUCUUCUUCUAAUUAAAAUGCAGUUGACGACGAUUUGGUUUCAUUUGGCGUUCGAAAUACUUUACGCCUUCCAUUAUCUGAAUCACGUAAAAGGGAAUUUAAAAUAGAAAGAAAUACAAAG